Molecule: long non-coding RNA, 1510 nt
Filed under: Gossypium barbadense (sea-island cotton)
Lineage: Eukaryota; Viridiplantae; Streptophyta; Magnoliopsida; Malvales; Malvaceae
Description: long non-coding RNA (GBAR_LNC004929)
Source: RNAcentral
CACAAUAAAAGGAAAAAUUUGAAAACAAAACAUUAGAAGAAAGGACUUCUGCGCGAUGCGCGCCAAUACACAAGGGCUCAAUCUGGAAAUAAUCCAGGCUAUCAAAACGCAGCUCAUAUGCCCGGACUAGACUGCAAAAUCAUGCAAAUUAUAAGGGCCGAAUUCAAAAGAAAUAAAUCUGGAUUGGGCCUAAUCGAACCACUGUACGAAGGGAGAGGACCAAUCUUGGAAAUAACCCUUCACCGCGAAAACACGCGGGUCCUGAGGGUUAAAGAGCUGAAUCGGGCCGGGCUAAAGAGGAGUGGCCUGGAUGGUGUCGUUUGAGACCACUAUUAUCGGUCUAAACUGCACCGUUUCCUAAUCCCUUAUAACCUCUAAUAAAACACCCCAUUUCAGCUGAAACCCCAUUCUUUUUCUCCUUUUCCAAACCCUAAAACUUCCCUCCUAAAGCUGCCGAUUCUCCUUCCCCUAGGAGCCAACAGAUUUAGGCUGGGGAAAACGCUUUACAGCCCUUCGAUCUCCUCUUGACUUCGAUUUCGACUAAGUAAGAGGAGAUCCAUGGCAUAUCCUCCAGGUAAACUCCCAUUUUCCUUUUUUAAUCAAACUUUCGAAUAAAGAAAAAGAUCAACAAAACAAAAAAAGAAAAAGAGAUCCAUUCGAAAGGGAACGCCCAGAGAUUUGAGUCAGGAAAUCACCUUUAGAAAAAUGGUUGCUUUGUAUUGCUUGAGUUUUUGUGUUUUUUGUUGCGUAUUUGCGCGUAAAAAAAAAAACUACAAUGAGCAGAGGCUUUGGCUUUAUAGCCGAAACAAAAAUAAGAAAUAUUCAAAAAUAAAAAUAAAAAUCGAAUACAAAUUCUCAUUUUGUUGUUGUCUUUUUUGUAUGUAUUUGCUACUGUGGUUUGUUCUCUUUCGCAGGUACGGGUGCUGUGCUGGCGUAUGGAGGCUUGGCGUGGUUGCUGGAGGCGUUGUACGGAGCGUACGGCGCUGGGGGAGGGCUGUUGCGGCGUAGGCAUGUCGCUAGGGUUUCUGUCUUGGUUUCAGUAUUUGGGUUAUACAAGUUUGGGUUAGGGCUUUGGUUAUUGGGCCAUGUAAUUGGACUGAGGGACUGUUUGGGUCUUUAUGCUUGUAAUAGGACAUUAAUGGACUAUCAUAAUAAUUUUUAUUUUUGUUGUAAUAAUUUUGGUUUUGUAUUUACACGGGCCCGGGCCAAAAUUGGUCCUUACAAACAUACAAUACCUUAAUUUACUUUUCUGAAUCAUAUAAUUGCCAUGAAUGUGGAUUAAGAAUAUUUAUGUUUAUGUUAAUUAUGAAAAUAUCAAACUAUAAUUUAAAUUAUAUGUUUGACCAUACGUAAAUCCUUACCUACUAUUUCAAACAAAAAUAUUUUUAUUUUUAUUACUAGAAAAUUAGCUUAAAUAAUUUUGAUUUGCAUAUUAAAGCAACGGUAUUUGUGCCAAUUUCUAGUUUUUUCUCCCCACUAAUAUGCUUAAUUAUAUGGAGCGAAAUAGCAA